CCAGCUCCAAUAGCGUAUAUUAAAGUUGUUGCAGUUAAAACGCUCGUAGUCGAACUUUAGACAAGGCCGACCGGUCUGCCGUCAGGCAGGACUGGACGUGCCGCGUCUCUUUAUCGGGGAACUAGGGGCGAAAGUCUCAGGGAACCGAGGAUUACUGUGAAGAAAUUAGAGUGUUUAAAGCAGGCGUUUGCUUGAAUACGUUAGCAUGGAAUAAUAAGAUAGGACCAUGGUUCUAUUUUAUUGGUUUGAGGACCAAGGUAAUGAUUAAUAGGGACAGUUGGGGGCAUUAGUAUUCAGUAGUCAGAGGUGAAAUUCUUGGAUUUACUGAAGACUAACUAAUGCGAAAGCAUUUGCCAAGGAUGUUUUCA
Molecule: ribosomal RNA, 368 nt
Filed under: uncultured Rozellomycota
Lineage: Eukaryota; Fungi; Rozellomycota
Description: SSU rRNA
Rfam family: Eukaryotic small subunit ribosomal RNA
Source: RNAcentral